Molecule: long non-coding RNA, 5177 nt
Organism: Gadus morhua (Atlantic cod)
Lineage: Eukaryota; Metazoa; Chordata; Actinopteri; Gadiformes; Gadidae
Source: Ensembl
CCACAGGUUCAGGGUAGCGUUUUGAACACAUGCUUCGCGUUGUGCCGGCGAAAUGCACAUUUCUUGUCGCGUUGUGCCGGCGAAAUGCACACUUCUUGGACCCCUGCAUAACUGCUUGCAGUUCUAGUUAUUGGGGGUCCAAGCCAACAGGUUGGAUCCCUAUUGUUGUAUUGUUGUAAGGAUUUUUAGGGGUCCAAGCCAACAGGUUGGAUCCCUAUUGUUUUUGUAAGGAUUUUUCUUAUUAUUAUUCUUACCUGCCUAAAAGUGUGCCCACAGCCCAAACCGUAAAUGGUGACGACACGCCAAUUGCAUGACUAGAUCCAGAUCUCUUCGGACUACGCAGACGACAAAAUCCAGACACGCCGGCCACUAGGUGGCGCUAUACCAAGGGAAAACGCGUUUGGGGCUAUAACUCCCACACCGAACCUCCCACAGUCAAAACCUUGUACACACAUAUUCACUGGAGUCUGCUGCAUCUUUUGGCAUAGGCCACACCGAACCUCCCACAUUCAAAACCUUGUACACACAUAUUCACUGGAGUCUGCUGCAUCUUUUGGCCUAGGCCACGCCCAUUUGCGUCUAGGAAUAUUUUUCGCAAAAUCGCGAAAACCGCAAAACUGUUUUUUCGCUACUCCUCCCACAUUUCUUGACCAAUCGACACCAAACUUUGCACACGACAUCUUCAGACACACACGCAAAGAAUGCAUGAAAACACUUUUUGGAUCCGACCUUCGACGACGAAACGGUAGCGUUUUUAAUAUUGGUUUAUUAGCUAAAUUAGACGUGGAAUAUCAAAAAUCCAAAGAAAUCCAAAAUUAGACAUCGGAUCGAGUCCAAAUUUUACACACAUGUUGGUGUUAACCUUAACGUCGUUCGAUAAAAAAUUCGGAAAAAUUUGCCAUUAGGGGGCGCAAUAAACGAGGAAAUUGUAUAUCGUCUGCAAAAUUUCGCCGCGAAAACGCUACACUGACUUCUCGCUACUCCUACCACAGUCAAAUCCUUUGUAUCCACAGGUUCAGGGUAGCGUUUUGAACACAUGCUUCGCGUUGUGCCGGCGAAACGCACAUUUCUUGUCGCGUUGUGCCGGCGAAAUGCACACUUCUUGGACCCCUUCAUAACUGCUUGCAGUUCUAGUUAGGGGUCCAAGCCAACAGGUUGGAUCCCUAUUGUUUUUGUAGUGUUUAUUAUUAUUCCCCCCUAGAAGUGGGUCCACAGCCCAAACCGUAAAUGGUGCCGACACGCCAAUUGCAUGACUAGAUCCAGGUCCCUGAGUUCUAAGCAGACGACCAAAUCCAGACACGCCGGCCACUAGGUGGCGCUAUACCAAGGAAUACGCGUUUGGGGCUUUAACUCCCACACCGAACCUCCCACAGUCAAAAACUUGUACACACAGAUGCACUGGAGUCUGCUGCAUCUUUUGGCCUAGGCCCCGCCCAUUUGCGUCCAUAAUUUUUUUUAGCAAAAUCGCGAAAACCGCAAAACAGUUUUUUCGCUACUCCUCCCACAUUUCUUGACCAAUCGACACCAAACUUUGCACACGACAUCUUCAGACGCACACGCAAAGAAUGCAUGAAACACUUUUUUGAUGCGACCUUUGACGACGAAACGGUAGCGUUUUGAAUAUUGGUUCAUGAGCUAAAUUAGACGUGGAAAAUCAAAAAUCCAAAGAAAUCCAAAAUUAGACAUCGGAACGAGUCCAAAUUCUACAUACAUGUUGGUGCUAACCUUAAUGUCGUACGAUAAAAAAUUCGGAAAAUUUUGCCAUUAGGGGGCGCCAUAAACGAGGAAAUUGUAUAUCUUCUACAAAAUUUAGCCGCGAAAACGCUACACUGACUUCUCGCUACUCCUACCACAGUCAAAUCCUUUGUAUCCACAGGUUCAGGGUAGCGUUUUGAACACAUGCUUCGCGUUGUGCCGGCGAAACGCACAUUUCUUGUCGCGUUGUGCCGGCGAAAUGCACACUUCUUGGAACCCUGCAUAACUGCUUGCAGUUCUAGUUAGGGGUCCAAGCCAACAGGUUGGAUCCCUAUUGUUUUUGUAAGGAUUUUUAUUAUUUUUAUUAGGGGUCCAAGCCAACAGGUUGGAUCCCUAUUGUUUUUGUAAGGAUUUUUUAUUAGGGGUCCAAGCCAACAGGUUGGAUCCCUAUUGUUUUUGUAAGGAUUUUUUAUUAGGGGUCCAAGCCAACAGGUUGGAUCCCUAUUGUUUUUGUAAGGAUUAUUAGGGGUCCAAGCCAACGGGUUGGAUCCCUAUUGUUUUUGUAGUGUUUGUUAUUAUUCCCCCGUAGAAGUGGGACCACAGCCCAAACCGUAAAUGGUGCACACACGCCAAUUGCAUGACUAGAUCCAGGUACGUGAGAUGACGGCAGACGACCAAAUCCAGACAUGCCGGCCACUAGGUGGCGCUAUACCAAGGAAAACGCGUUUGGGGCUAUAACUCCCACACCGAACCUCCCACAUACAAAACCUUAUACACACAGAUUCACUGGAGUCUGCUGCAUCUUUUGGCAUAGGCCACGCCCAUUUGCGUCUAUAAUUUUUUUUCGCAAAAUCGCGAAAACCGCAAAACUGUUUUUUCCCUACUCCUUCCACAUUUCUUGACCAAUCAACACCAAACUUUGCACACGACAUCGUCAGACGCACACGCAAAGAAUGCAUGAGACACUUUUUUGAUGCGACCUUUGACGACAAAACGGUAGCGUUUUGAAUAUUGGUUUAUUAGCUAAAUUAGACGUGGAAUAUCAAAAAUCCAAAGAAAUCCAAAAUUAGACAUCGGAUCGAGUCCAAAUUUUACACACAUGUUGGUGUUAACUUUAUCGUCGUUCGAUAAAAAAUUCGGAAAAAUUCGCCAUUAGGGGGCGCCAUAAACGAGGAAAUUGUAUAUCUUCUACAAAAUUUUAGGCCACGCCCAUUUGCGUCUAUAAUUUUUUUUCGCAAAAUCGCGAAAACCGCAAAACUGUUUUUUCCCUACUCCUUCCACAUUUCUUGACCAAUCAACACCAAACUUUGCACACGACAUCGUCAGACGCACACGCAAAGAAUGCAUGAGACACUUUUUUGAUGCGACCUUUGACGACAAAACGGUAGCGUUUUGAAUAUUGGUUUAUUAGCUAAAUUAGACGUGGAAUAUCAAAAAUACAAAGAAAUCCAAAAUUAGACAUCGGAUCGAGUCCAAAUUUUACACACAUGUUGGUGUUAACUUUAUCGUCGUUCGAUAAAAAAUUCGGAAAAAUUCGCCAUUAGGGGGCGCCAUAAACGAGGAAAUUGUAUAUCUUCUACAAAAUUUCGCCGCGAAAACACUACACUGACUUCUCGCUACUCAUACCACAGUCAAAUCCUUUGUAUCCACAGGUUCAGGGUAGCGUUUUGAACACAUGCUUCGCGUUGUGCCGGCGAAACGCACAUUUCUUGUCGCGUUGUGCCGGCGAAUGCACACUUCUUGGACCCCUGCAUAACUGCUUGCAGUUCUAGUUGUUAUACUUACCUCACUAGAAGUGGUACCACAGCCCAAACCGUAAAUGGUGCCGACACGCCAAUUGCAUGACUAGAUCCAGAUCUCUUCGGACAAUGCAGACGACCAAAUCCAGACCCGCCGGCCCCUAGGUGGCGCUAUACCAAGGAAUACGCAUUUGGGGCUAUAACUCCCACACCGAACCUCCCACAUUCAAAACCUUGUACACACAGAUUCACUGGAGUCUGCUGCAUCUUUUGGCAUAGGCCACGCCCAUUUGCGUCUAGAAUUUUUUUUCGCAAAAUCGCGAAAACCGCAAAACUGUUUUUUCGCUACUCCUCCCACAUUUCUCGACCAAUCAACACCAAACUUUGCACACGGCAUCUUCAGACGCACACGCAAAGAAACCCUCAGACAGUUUUUUGAUCCGACUUUCGACGACGAAACGGUAGCGUUUUGAACAUUGGUUUAUUAGCUACGUUUUACGUCGAAACGCAAAAAUUCAAAAAAUACCAAAAUUAGACAUCGGAUCAAGCCCACAUUUUAGACACAUGUCGGUGUUACCCUUAAUGGCGUUCAAUAAAAAUAACGGAAUUUUUCGCAAUUAGGGGGCGCUAUAAACGAGGAAAUUGUAUAUCUUCUAAUUGGCCCAAGGAAUGUUCUUCAGACUAUAAGGGAACCAUCAAGGGGCAAACCCGAGACUAUAUAGAAAAUAUGGCCAAGAAUUAUUAAUGUGGGCGGGAGUUAUUUGGCAAAGGAAAAUUGUCUUUGGAAAAUGUCGCCACAGGGCGGCGCCAAAAAACGACGACAUUGUCUAUCUCCUAUUUGGCCAAUGUUCUGAAAACGCGUUUUAGGCUAUAACUCCCACACCGAAGCUCCCACAGUCAAAACCUUUAUAUCCACAUGUUGUUCACGGUAGCGUUUUCAAUACUUGCUUCGCGUUGUGCCGGUGAAAUGCACAUUUCUUGUCGCGUUGUGCCGGCGAAAUGCACACUUCUUGGACCCCUGCAUAACUGCUUGCAGUUCUAGUUAGGGGUCCAAGCCAACAGGUUGGAUCCCUAUUGUUUUUGUAAGGAUUUUUAUUAUUAUUAGGGGUCCAAGCCAACAGGUUGGAUCCCUAUUGUUUUUGUAAGGAUUAUUAUUAUUAUACUAUACGCCUUAGAAGUGGUACCACAGCCCAAACCGUAAAUGGUGCCGACACGGCAAUUGCAUCACUAGAUCCAGGUCGGGCACCGCUACUCAGAUAACCAAAUCCAGACACGCCGGCCACUAGGUGGCGCUAUACCAAGGACAGACGCGUUUGGGGCUAUAACUCCCACACCGAAUCUCCCACAUUCAAAAACUUGUACGCACAGAUUCACUGGAGUCUGCUGCAUCUUUUGGCAUAGGCCACGCCCAUUUGCGUCUAGGAAUAUUUUUCGCUAAAUCGCGAAAACCGCAAAACUGUUUUUUCGCUACUCCUCCCACAUUUCUCGACCAAUUGACACAAAACUUUGCACACGACAUCUUCAGACCUACACGAAAAGAAUUCCUGCAUUACUUUUUUGAUCCGACCUUCGACGACGUAACGGUAGCGUUUUGAAUAUUGGUUUAUUAGCUAAAUUAGACGUGGAAAAUCCAAAAUCCCCAAAAAUUCAAAAUUACACAUCGGAUCGACUCCAAGUUUUACACACAUGUUGGUGCUAACCUUAAUGUCGUACGAUAAAAAAUUCGGAAAAUUUCGCCAUUAG